Tachyglossus aculeatus (Australian echidna) is the source of this 183-nucleotide small nuclear RNA. RefSeq annotates it as U2 spliceosomal RNA. The record is from RefSeq and is a predicted model, not a curated record. NCBI's taxonomy places the organism in Eukaryota, Metazoa, Chordata, Mammalia, Monotremata, Tachyglossidae. The transcript has a single exon.
AUUGUAUUUUAAGGCCUUUUGGCUAAGAUGAAGUGUAGUAUCUGUUCUUGUCUGUUUAAUAUCUGUUAUGUCCCUUCUAGAUUGUAAGCUUAUUGUGGGCAAGGAACGUUUCUAACGAUUCUGUUGUACUCUCCUAAGUGCUUAUACUUUAUCUACCAACUCUGGUGUAUUGUGCCUCCAAGA